ACUUCUGCAUAAUAUAACACAUUAUUUAUAUUACCAAGGGCAUUGGAGAUCUUUCUGCCUUUUUUCUUUUUCUCUCUCUCUCUCUCUUUUUUUUUUCUUUUUUUAAAUAAGACUAUCCUGAUAUCCUUGUCUCAGACUUGGAUAAAAUAAUGCUUUAUUUAGUUAUGAAAUUAAAUACUCUAAAGCUCUUGAGAUGACAGCCAUUAGAGCCCAGCAUGACUAAAUACUAUUCACCUAACAUAACAUUAUCCAUCAAGAAUCCAACACACACACGCACAAAUGGCCCACACCCAGUGCACCCAGCCAAUACCUAAUCUGUUGAAAAUUAAGCUAGUAAUGUAUGUUAAAACAUUUGUGGGAAGUUUGGAUCCCAAGAUAUUUUGCUACAGUCUAUGAGCCCUUCAAUUAAUUCAUUACUCAUUUUCCCCACUUGCUUAUUCAUAACCAGAGGCUAUUGUCUUGUGUUUCUGACAUCACAGUCCGUUGCCUUAGGAACAGUGAUGAUGUCACAAGGGUAGAAUUAGCACCUAUUAAUAUGAAGAGGCACAGAGAAGAGAUGAAUAAUGGGCUUGGGGACUGAAUUAGACACAAAUUACUAGGAAUUUUUUGGACAGGAAAAAUACUUGAAAGGUGAUGCAUAACGCCAAGCCGUACAGUCUGGAGGGUGAAAGCCAAGUCUGAAGGAAGCUGUCAGCAUGGAGGGAUGUGCUGCGACUGUUGGCUCCAUGUUUGUCCCCACGGACCUCAGACAGGCGGCAGGACAACAUGAUUGCCAUUUGUGAGAAGAGCAGACAUCUCUCUGUUUCCUUGCUGGAACUGUCCAUCACAUGGAAUAACAACCCCAGAACUUCCCAGUUACAAGGACAUUUGAGAAGGAAUGACCAAAGUUGUUGGUUAUUCACUGGAGAGAUGCUCAUCUUUAAAGUGUUCUUCAGACUGAAGAGUUCUCUGUCACUUAUUCCAGGGUCUUCUCACUUUGAAUAAAGCAUUGUGUCUGCUUAAAAAUUGUCCUGAAUUUUUGAUUCAAUACCAUGAUAAGGUUUUUGUAUUUUGUUUGGUAUGCGAUUCUUUUGUGGAGAGGAGAGGAGAGGAGAGGAGAGGAGAGGAGAGGAGAGGAGAGGAGAGGAGAGGAGAGGAGAGGGAAGCGAGGGGAGGGGAGGGGAAGAAACCCAAAACACCUGUAGAUGCAAUUGAAUACCAACAAGUGAAGCAGAAUCAAAGUCAGGUAUCUUUGCUGACACACCACAGUCAGAUUUACACACGGUACUGUAAAUCACAUUGGAAAAAGGCCAAAUAUCCUGUGCUAUGAUCCCCUGUUAGAACUCUAUCUUCUGACUUUAGAGAUAGUCCAGUGCUAUACCUUCAUCAUUCUAUCAGCUCCUGGCUUCCAAAGUAUUUCACAGUCACAGUCAUCUAAGGUGCCCACCACCCCCACACACACAUUCCUGCACGGUGGUAAUGGUCUCUCAAAUGAUGAAAACAAAGAAGUAGUCUGACAUAAAACUUUAUGCCUGCUGAGGCUCCAAGCUAUGUAGCAGUAAUAUUUACAAGGCCUCUGUCGGCUGGGCUGCCUCGCUCUGUUAGGCACCACACUGAUGUGCACUUUAUGCAGCUGGAUGCAUGACAUUACCACGCAGGCCAGGUCCCUGAUUUAUAGUGUCUGGUAACAUCUCCCUAGUGCUGGAAUAGAAAUGUCUGUUAAUUUUGGAUGGUAAAGGAGCAUUGGUUUUGCUCUGAC
RNAcentral lists this long non-coding RNA (1738 nucleotides) under Phasianus colchicus (ring-necked pheasant). Its description in RNAcentral is "lncRNA (ENSPCLG00000018556.1)". The record is from RNAcentral. Lineage: Eukaryota; Metazoa; Chordata; Aves; Galliformes; Phasianidae.